RNAcentral lists this small RNA (150 nucleotides) under Macaca fascicularis (crab-eating macaque). RNAcentral's name for it is "Metazoan signal recognition particle RNA (ENSMFAG00000054337.1)". Lineage: Eukaryota; Metazoa; Chordata; Mammalia; Primates; Cercopithecidae. The record is from Rfam by way of RNAcentral.
GCCAGGCAUGGUGGUGCAUGCCUGUAGUCUCAGCUACUCAAGAGAGGCUGAGGUGGGAGGAUCACUUGAGCUCAGGAAAUCAGGGCUGCAGUGAGCGCUGAUCAUGCCACUGCUCUCCAGCCUGGGCAACAGGGCAAGACCCUGCCUCAA